This 328-nucleotide unclassified non-coding RNA is filed under the name soil metagenome. RNAcentral describes it as "partial contains 5.8S ribosomal RNA, internal transcribed spacer 2, and large subunit ribosomal RNA". The stretch from base 3 to 119 matches the Rfam family "5.8S ribosomal RNA", at positions 38 to 154 of the family's 154-position model. The record is from RNAcentral.
GAGAAGAACGUAGCGAAAUGCGAUAAGUAAUGUGAAUUGCAGAAUUCAGUGAAUCAUCGAAUCUUUGAACGCACAUUGCGCCCCUUGGUAUUCCGAGGGGCAUGCCUGUUCGAGCGUCAUUAUAACCCCUCAAGCUCAGCUUGGUGUUGGGGCCUGCUGCACUGGCAGCCCUUAAAAUCAGUGGCGGCGCCAUCUGGCUCUAAGCGUAGUAAUUCUUCUCGCUAUGGAGUCCUGGUGGAUGCUUGCCAUCAACCCCCAAUUUUUCUAUGGUUGACCUCGGAUCAGGUAGGGAUACCCGCUGAACUUAAGCAUAUCAAUAAGCGGAGGA